GAUGAACGCUAGCGGCAGGCUUAACACAUGCAAGUCGAGGGGUAUUGGUUUUCGGACCAAGAGACCGGCGCACGGGUGCGUAACGCGUAUGCAAUCUACCUUUUGCAGAGGGAUAGCCCAGAGAAAAUUUUGGGAAUUUAAAUACCUCAUAGUAUAGUACUUUGGCAUCAAGGAACUAUUAAAGUCACAAACGGCAAAAAGAUGAGCAUGCGUCCCAUUAGCUAGUUGGUAAGGUAAACGGCUUACCAAGGCUACGAUGGGUAGGGGUCCUGAGAGGGAGAUCCCCCACACUGGUACUGAGACACGGACCAGACUCCUACGGGAGGCAGCA
This 331-nucleotide ribosomal RNA is filed under the name uncultured bacterium. Its description in RNAcentral is "bacterial SSU rRNA". It matches the Rfam family "Bacterial small subunit ribosomal RNA", at positions 28 to 353 of the family's 1533-position model. The record is from RNAcentral.